CCUACGGGGGCUGCAGUGGGGAAUAUUGGACAAUGGGGGCAACCCUGAUCCAGCCAUGCCGCGUGUGUGAAGAAGGCCCUCGGGUUGUAAAGCACUUUCAGUGAGGAAGAACGCCUGGUGGUUAAUACCCAUCAGGAAAGACAUCACUCACAGAAGAAGCACCGGCUAACUCCGUGCCAGCAGCCGCGGUAAUACGGAGGGUGCGAGCGUUAAUCGGAAUUACUGGGCGUAAAGCGCGCGUAGGUGGCUUGAUAAGCCGGUUGUGAAAGCCCCGGGCUCAACCUGGGAACGGCAUCCGGAACUGUCAAGCUAGAGUGCAGGAGAGGAAGGUAGAAUUCCCGGUGUAGCGGUGAAAUGCGUAGAGAUCGGGAGGAAUACCAGUGGCGAAGGCGGCCUUCUGGACUGACACUGACACUGAGGUGCGAAAGCGUGGGUAGCUAACAGGAUUAGAUACCCUAGUAGUC
RNAcentral lists this ribosomal RNA (464 nucleotides) under Vreelandella stevensii. RNAcentral describes it as "partial 16S ribosomal RNA". It matches the Rfam family "Bacterial small subunit ribosomal RNA", at positions 338 to 795 of the family's 1533-position model. The record is from RNAcentral. Lineage: Bacteria; Pseudomonadati; Pseudomonadota; Gammaproteobacteria; Oceanospirillales; Halomonadaceae.